This 947-nucleotide long non-coding RNA is filed under the name Marmota monax (woodchuck). The record is from RNAcentral. Lineage: Eukaryota; Metazoa; Chordata; Mammalia; Rodentia; Sciuridae.
GCAAAUUUCCUUCCCCAAGCAGCUUGGGACCUGCACUAUUCCUCUAUCUGAAAUUGCACUUCUCCUCAUAUUUUUCCUGGGAAGUGCUAUCUGAUUUUAAAGACUUGGCUCAUUCUAUAUCAUUUCCAUGAAAAAUUCCCAACUCCUGUAAUCUGAAUUCAUCUCUCCCACUUGUAGUUUGCAGAAACUGUUUCUACCCCUGUUUUGAAGCACAUAUCUUGGUCUACCUUUGGUUAUAGGGUGCUGAGAUGGUCCAGAGCCUACUCUGGAAUCAGCUUUUCUGGCUUCGAAUCCCAUUUUAACCUCACUGCUUCUUUGGGCAAGAUUCUUUAUAUUCCUGGGCCUUGGUUUCCUUUUCUAUGAAAAGACACAAUAAUAAAACCUACUCAUGUGUUUGUUGAAAGGAUUAAAUGAAAUCAUAUAUUUGAAGUGCAUACAGUAAACAUCAAAGAGUGUAAUCUAAUGUUAACUUUCUUCAUAGUUUGUGAGUUGUUGGGGGAAAAAAGCUUUGCAUUACUGAUAAUUAUAAUAGUAAAUUGCAUGAAGUAAUAAUGUAAUGAAUAGCAUUUUAAUUUGGAACAAGUUUUCUAAUGAGUCCUCUUCUGGGUUUGGAAAAAUCAAAAGUAUUUUGGAUAAACUUGCAAAAGAGGAAAUGACAGACUGGUUAGAACAAAAAUUAUUAAGAAAAAAUGAAAUUACUUCAAAAGAUACAUAUCUUCACACUGCUUUCUUUUGUUCAGAGGCAGCUGCAUUUACUCUUUUCUGUUUGGAAGCAUACUUUUAAGGCAUUCUUCCUAGAGUUUGAAGGAAAGAAAGAAAGAAAGAAAAAAAAACUAGCCUUUUCCUAAUUUUCAGUCACAGAAGAAGCUGAAUCUGAGCUCCAUUGUUUCCUGUCUCCUGCUGGGCAUAGGAGCAUUCAUGUAAAUAGAAUUCCUUUGACACCACAG